RNAcentral lists this ribosomal RNA (229 nucleotides) under uncultured Lactobacillus sp. RNAcentral describes it as "partial 16S ribosomal RNA". It matches the Rfam family "Bacterial small subunit ribosomal RNA", at positions 134 to 355 of the family's 1533-position model. Lineage: Bacteria; Bacillati; Bacillota; Bacilli; Lactobacillales; Lactobacillaceae. The record is from RNAcentral.
UAGUCUGGGAUGCCACUUGGAAACAGGUGCUAAUACCGGAUAAGAAAGCGGAUCGCAUGAUCAGCUUUUAAAAGGCGGCGUAAGCUGUCGCUAUGGGAUGGCCCCGCGGUACAUUAGCUAGUUGGUAAGGUAAAGGCUUACCAAGGCGAUGAUGCAUAGCCGAGUUGAGAGACUGAUCGGCCAAAUUGGGACUGAGACACGGCCCAAACUCCUACGGGAGGCAGCAGCA